This 65-nucleotide transfer RNA is filed under the name Neotoma lepida (desert woodrat). It matches the Rfam family "tRNA". From Rfam's summary of the family: Transfer RNA (tRNA) molecules are approximately 80 nucleotides in length. The record is from Rfam by way of RNAcentral. Lineage: Eukaryota; Metazoa; Chordata; Mammalia; Rodentia; Cricetidae.
AGUGUGGCUCAAUGGUAGAGUGCUUGCCUAGCAAACUUAAGACUCUGGGUUCCAUUCCCAGCACU